RNAcentral lists this ribosomal RNA (422 nucleotides) under uncultured bacterium. Its description in RNAcentral is "bacterial SSU rRNA". It matches the Rfam family "Bacterial small subunit ribosomal RNA", at positions 363 to 776 of the family's 1533-position model. The record is from RNAcentral.
CUUCCGCAAUGGACGAAAGUCCGACGGAGCAACGCCGCGCGAGUGAUGAAGGUUUUCGGAGCGUAAAACUCUGUUGUUAGGGAAGAACAAGUACCGUUCGAAUAGGGCGGUACCUUGACGGUACCUAAACAGAAAGCCACGGCUAAACACGUGACAGCAGCCGCGGUAAUACGUAGGUGGCAAGCGGUGUCCGGAAUUAUUGGGCGUAAAGCGCGCGCAGGCGGUUUCUUAAGUCUGAUGUGAAAGCCCCCGGCUCAACCGGGGAGGGUCAUUGGAAACUGGGGAACUUGAGUGCAGAAGAGGAGAGUGGAAUUCCACGUGUAGCGGUGAAAUGCGUAGAGAUGUGGAGGAACACCAGUGGCGAAGGCGACUCUCUGGCCUGUAACUGACGCUGAGGCGCGAAAGCGUGGGGAGCGAACAGG